Molecule: long non-coding RNA, 1337 nt
Organism: Vitis vinifera (wine grape)
Lineage: Eukaryota; Viridiplantae; Streptophyta; Magnoliopsida; Vitales; Vitaceae
Exons: 2
Source: RefSeq, a predicted model, not a curated record
CACAAACAAGGCGUCGGGGACAUUCUUGAUCAUUUUGAAGGGAGUUACAUUCUCUCCUGCUCUCUUUGCCACCAUGGAGAAAGGUGGUGUUGCCAGGCCUACUAUCAAGAGACAAUGGUAACUGACCUCUACUUUCUCACGUGAUGGUGCUUCAAAAUGUCUACCAGGGAACGCAGAGUUGGCAAUUCUGAGGAAGAUUGGUUCACCAGGCAAGUUAGACAGUUUGAUAGAGGUGAAUGACUACCCCUCUCCUCUCCCUCCCUCUCUCUCUCUCUCUCUCUCCCAGUAUUAACACAUGCCUACAUGAAAUGCUUGUGUUAAAAUGAUGGUUGGUUGUUUGGUUGCCUGGAAAAUGUUGCAGAAUAAUCAUAGAUCUCGCUCCCUUUCUGGGCAACCAAACAGCACUUAAAAAGGAGACCAUUUGACUGAUUGUAGAGUUGGAUUAUUAGGAAGCUUAUGACAAAGCUCUUCUCUUAACCUUUAAUAUUAUCAGUUGUAGUUGAAUUAGUGGUACUUACUCGAAGAUACUGAGAAUUUCUGAAUGGAAGGCCUCCAGGUUGUCAUAGUCCGCAGGAUCACUGUAAAACAUCUGAAUUGCACGGCUCGCUAAUUUUUGUGGCGUCAACUCUACAUGCAAAAAGAAUUGAGGGGGAAAAUAUGAAGAAGAAAAAUAGAAAGAGAAAAUAAAGAAAAUAAGAGAUGUUGAGGAAAGCCAAUGGAGAACCUUUUCCCAUGAGAAGCAAAGGGAUGAAAGCGACUGGAGAACCUCUACGCCUGAUACUCUGGACAAGCCCCAUUUUUGGGAUUAACACAACACCACAGUUGAACUCUAUUCAACUGCGAGCGUCUGUAUAAUAUAUAGUGAAAGAUAAAGGAAUGACUUGUUAGACUCUUUGGCUUGGUGGAAGCAAGGAAUUAUUUGAGGGGAAAAAAAUUCUUGCCUUGUAACAUGUUAGAGAGAGAGAGAGACAGAGAGAGAGAGAGAGAGACCCAUUGAGCCCAUGUAUAGAUCAAGCUGAAAGGACAUGCUAAAGCCUAGGUUGGAACAUGAGAGUGGUGGAAAAGGUAAAUUUCAAUCAACCUCCCAUAAGAUUUCAAUUAAAUAGAUUUGGUUAUCAUUAAUUUGAAAUUUUAUUGAUAAGGAAAUAACAAAUGAGAAUGGGAGAAAGAGAUGAUUGAAAUUUGUAGACUAUAACAUAUGUGGGUCUCAAUGCAACAUUUUUAUACUUAUGAAAAAGACAUCACCAAUCAAGUAAUAUUAUGUGCGUAACUCAGAUCUCAUUACUUGAUACCCAAAUUUUAUAUAUUUGUACCAUAUACGAAGUUCCAUUAUUUUA